GGCCGCGUGGCCUAAUGGUUAAGGCGUUGGUUUUCGGCUAUCGAUUUCUCUAGGAGAUUUGGAUGAAAAGCACCAAAGAUUGGGAGUUCGAAUCUUCCCGCGGUCG
This is a transfer RNA of Exophiala xenobiotica, 106 nucleotides long. It matches the Rfam family "tRNA". Rfam says of the family: Transfer RNA (tRNA) molecules are approximately 80 nucleotides in length. Their secondary structure includes four short double-helical elements and three loops (D, anti-codon, and T loops). The record is from Rfam. NCBI's taxonomy places the organism in Eukaryota, Fungi, Ascomycota, Eurotiomycetes, Chaetothyriales, Herpotrichiellaceae.